This 251-nucleotide ribosomal RNA is filed under the name uncultured prokaryote. RNAcentral describes it as "partial 16S ribosomal RNA". It matches the Rfam family "Bacterial small subunit ribosomal RNA", at positions 524 to 774 of the family's 1533-position model. The record is from RNAcentral.
UACGUAGGGGGCAAGCGUUGUCCGGAUUUAUUGGGCGUAAAGAGCGUGUAGGCGGCCAGGUAGGUCGGCUGUGAAAACUCGAGGCUCAACCUCGAGAUGUCGGCCGAAACCAUCUGGCUAGAGUCCGGAAGAGGAGAGUGGAGUUCCCGGUGUAGCGGUGAAAUGCGCAGAUAUCGGGAAGAACACCCGUGGCGAAGGCGGCUCUCUGGGGCGGUACUGACGCUGAGACGCGAAAGCGUGGGGAGCGAACA